This is a long non-coding RNA of Heterocephalus glaber (naked mole-rat), 395 nucleotides long. The record is from Ensembl. NCBI's taxonomy places the organism in Eukaryota, Metazoa, Chordata, Mammalia, Rodentia, Bathyergidae.
UGUUAUUAGUGAUUACUCUGUGAUGUGGAAGGAGAAAAGAAGGAAAAGAGAUGGAGGGAUGGGUGUAAGAGGAGUGCAACUCUGCAGGAGGAGAGUUUCAAGGGGAUUCCAGGCAACUACUUGAAGACUGUGGGUGGCUGCAUACUCUGGAAGUCCUAUUGAAAGCUGAUGUGCUGGGCAGACUUCACUUGAGUACAGGUACUCAUGAUCCUCUGACUCAUUGUGCAAGUGGGAGCUCAGGGAAGGUGCUGAGUGGACUGGGUGUGUGCACCAGUGAUUCAGCAGGCAGGCCUGACACCCAGGCUGACUGUGAGUGGAGUCAGGUAGGGCGCCAAUUGCCUGUUCAUCUCCCUCUGGCCAGAGUAGGGGAGAGGUGGGGCCCUCCUGCCUGUGGU